This 2184-nucleotide long non-coding RNA is filed under the name Fragaria vesca (wild strawberry). Its description in RNAcentral is "long non-coding RNA (FVES_LNC003057)". The record is from RNAcentral. Lineage: Eukaryota; Viridiplantae; Streptophyta; Magnoliopsida; Rosales; Rosaceae.
UUUAAAGAUAAUAUAGAUCAACUAAACUAUUAUCAGAGAUAUCGAAAAACUCAUAGAUCAAGAGAAUUUAUGGCCAAGCAACAAAAUUACUCCAUAUGACUCAUGGAUCAUCAUAGAGUACAAUAAUAAAGAAGAAAAACAAAGUAUGAUCGUGUAAAGGUGAACAGAAAAAAACAGUUUUGGUUUUCUAGGGUUAGUUGUUAUCAGCACGAGUUAUCAACUCAAGAGUAGAGUCGUGCUGAUAACGUGUUGUAAAGUAAAGAAAAGAAGAAGAGAAGACACAGAGAGAAUAGUUGGGAGGAGGCAUAAGUCUACUCAUUCAUUCUCAUUAGCCUCUUUAUAUAGAGAUAGGGUUUACAUCAUAGUACAUAACUAAUGAGUAAUUACGUGGACAACCACAUAGAUUAUAAAAUUUAUAACAGUUUUAAGUUAAGUAUAAUGUAUAAGCAUGUAUUUUAUAUAUGACAAAAAUAGAGUGUAUUACAUAUAAGUGAUAUAAUCCUUGAGAAAAUUUUGAGAAAAAAAAUAAUAAUUUAAAACUAGCUCAUUUUGGCCAUAUUUAGCCUUAUUUAAAAGGCCGGCCCAACCCGGUUUUUAGCCCUAAUGAAAUGGGCAUUUAGGGCGGGUAAGGGUUUAUAUUUUUAAGCCUCGGCCUUAAGUUUUAUUGACUAAGUCAAAGCCCUACCCAGCCCUACCCUAAGCCCUAAAAUUUAGGGUAGGGUCGGUCCUAGCCUAGCCCAUGAUGAGACUUAUGACUCUAUACAUUACCAAUUGGUUUUCAAUGUGAACCUCAAAGUACUUCAUCAUAGUAUCAAAGCGGGUUACCCACAUAUAUGUAUGAAUGCAUAACAGCCACACGAACUCCACAUCGCCUAAACACGUUGGGGGGGUGUGUUGAGAUAUAAAUUUCAUACCGAGAAUUGAGACAUUGUAUAUGAGUUUAUAAGGAUUUGAGCCUUUGUAUGCAUUGUCAAUUGGUUUUUGAUUUAAACCCCAAAUUAUUUAUUAUGUUAAUUGCAUGAUGUUUCUUGUCUCCAUUAGAUGACCUCAAACAUCUUCUUUUCAGCCAAGCUUGUGGUAAAUUGCGAGAAAUCGAGUUUACAAAGAAUGCAACUCUGUUUUAGUCUUUUAAAGAGGCAAAUACGUUAGAGCACAAUUUUUUUACGUUCGCUUCAUUAUCAGGAAAAAUAAUUUUUGCGCGCAGUUGAGCUCAGGAAACAUUGUACUAAGAAAAUAAAAUUGUCACCAGACCAAAUGGACAUGGAUAUUAGACUGGUAGGCCAAUUAUCACAUCAAGAAUGAAGUGUGAAAUGACAUAGGUCGGGACAAUUUGUAGCAUGUGAAAAUUCUGAUUUUCACUUAUUUUACAUUUCAACUCAAUCAUGGGAUCAAUUUAUUUUCAAAAUAUAUUUCAUGUGAAUUUGAAGCCUCAGAAGUAUGUAUUUUUGUAUGAUUUCUUAUCUAUUUCAGUUUUGAAGAGAAUGUGUCUUAUUUAAUUAAUCAAAACUGAAAAUUUUUAGAGUAUAUAACCCUAGAAAAACCACAUCAGUAAAAUCACGACCUCAGUUUUCAAGUAUUAUUGAUGCUAGGAUUCUAGUUUCAGAUAAACCACAUCAGUAAAAUCACCACCUACACACAGCAUGAUAAACUGCUAACUGCAUACUGAGUUGGCUCAAACCCAGACACCCUCAUCUAGUCAUCUCAAAAAACAUUUUCCAAGCUUCGCCUGACACGACCCACCCCGAAUUUCACCCUGAAACCCAGAGUAAGUCGUGCGGGGACCACCUCCAAGGAAAAUUUACUGAAAAGAUUAAGCAAAUCUCCCUUGCAGAUGGACAACCCUAACUCGAAAAUUUCAUCUUACACUCUUAAUUCAACACUUCCGAACAUCACAUAAUAUACAAAAAUUCUAAAGUAUUCAGAGCUACUAAACACAAGCGGAAGCAAGAAAACACGAGUAGGUUGAACAGGUAACCUACUGAUGAAAACUGGCCGAAAAGCGGGUGACUAUGCCUCGUCUCCUACUAGAUCCAACCCGAACUCUGCAGACUGGGCAAUUUAAAACGAAGGGUCCAGGGGAAAACAUUUAAUAACGUUAGAGUGAGUGGACAAAAAUAAAUUAAUAAAUAAAAUAUUUAUGUUUCCCCAAAUUAAUUUCUAAGGAAAAAAUCGAAUGCAUNNNNN